AUCAUGGCUCAGAUUGAACGCUGGCGGCAUGCCUUACACAUGCAAGUCGAACGGCAGCAUGAUCUAGCUUGCUAGAUUGAUGGCGAGUGGCGAACGGGUGAGUAAUACAUCGGAACGUGCCCUGUAGUGGGGGAUAACUAGUCGAAAGAUUAGCUAAUACCGCAUACGACCUGAGGGUGAAAGUGGGGGACCGCAAGGCCUCAUGCUAUAGGAGCGGCCGAUGUCUGAUUAGCUAGUUGGUGAGGUAAAGGCUCACCAAGGCGACGAUCAGUAGCUGGUCUGAGAGGACGAUCAGCCACACUGGGACUGAGACACGGCCCAGACUCCUACGGGAGGCAGCAGUGGGGAAUUUUGGACAAUGGGGGCAACCCUGAUCCAGCAAUGCCGCGUGUGUGAAGAAGGCCUUCGGGUUGUAAAGCACUUUUGUCCGGAAAGAAAUCGCACUUACUAAUAUUAGGUGUGGAUGACGGUACCGGAAGAAUAAGGACCGGCUAACUACGUGCCAGCAGCCGCGGUAAUACGUAGGGUCCAAGCGUUAAUCGGAAUUACUGGGCGUAAAGCGUGCGCAGGCGGUUGUGCAAGACCGAUGUGAAAUCCCCGGGCUUAACCUGGGAAUUGCAUCGGUGACUGCACGGCUAGAGUGUGUCAGAGGGGGGUAGAAUUCCACGUGUAGCAGUGAAAUGCGUAGAGAUGUGGAGGAAUACCGAUGGCGAAGNCAGCCCCNUGGGAUANCACUGACGCUCAUGCACGAAAGCGUGGGAGCAAACAGGAUUAGAUACCCUGGUAGUCCACGCCCUAAACGAUGUCAACUAGUUGUUGGGGAUUCAUUUCCUUAGUAACGUAGCUAACGCGUGAAGUUGACCGCCUGGGGAGUACGGUCGCAAGAUUAAAACUCAAAGGAAUUGACGGGGACCCGCACAAGCGGUGGAUGAUGUGGAUUAAUUCGAUGCAACGCGAAAAACCUUACCUACCCUUGACAUGCCACUAACGAAGCAGAGAUGCAUUAGGUGCUCGAAAGAGAAAGUGGACACAGGUGCUGCAUGGCUGUCGUCAGCUCGUGUCGUGAGAUGUUGGGUUAAGUCCCGCAACGAGCGCAACCCUUGUCUCUAGUUGCUACGAAAGGGCACUCUAGAGAGACUGCCGGUGACAAACCGGAGGAAGGUGGGGAUGACGUCAAGUCCUCAUGGCCCUUAUGGGUAGGGCUUCACACGUCAUACAAUGGUGCAUACAGAGGGUUGCCAAGCCGCGAGGUGGAGCUAAUCCCAGAAAAUGCAUCGUAGUCCGGAUCGUAGUCUGCAACUCGACUACGUGAAGCUGGAAUCGCUAGUAAUCGCGGAUCAGCAUGCCGCGGUGAAUACGUUCCCGGGUCUUGUACACACCGCCCGUCACACCAUGGGAGUGGGUUUUGCCAGAAGUAGUUAGCCUAACCGCAAGGGGGGCG
This 1441-nucleotide ribosomal RNA is filed under the name uncultured Ralstonia sp. Its description in RNAcentral is "16S ribosomal RNA". It matches the Rfam family "Bacterial small subunit ribosomal RNA". The record is from RNAcentral. Lineage: Bacteria; Pseudomonadati; Pseudomonadota; Betaproteobacteria; Burkholderiales; Burkholderiaceae.